RNAcentral lists this ribosomal RNA (253 nucleotides) under uncultured bacterium. RNAcentral describes it as "partial 16S ribosomal RNA". It matches the Rfam family "Bacterial small subunit ribosomal RNA", at positions 524 to 776 of the family's 1533-position model. The record is from RNAcentral.
UACGUAGGGUGCAAGCGUUACUCGGAAUUACUGGGCGUAAAGCGUGCGCAGGCGGUUUUUUAAGUCUGUCGUGAAAGCCCCGGGCUCAACCUGGGAAUUGCGAUGGAGACUGCAAGGCUUGAAUCUGGCAGAGGGGGGUAGAAUUCCACGUGUAGCAGUGAAAUGCGUAGAUAUCGGGAGGAACACCAGUGGCGAAGGCGACUACCUGGCCUGUUCUUGACGCUGAGGCGCGAAAGCUAGGGGAGCAAACGGG